RNAcentral lists this ribosomal RNA (454 nucleotides) under uncultured bacterium. RNAcentral's name for it is "bacterial SSU rRNA". It matches the Rfam family "Bacterial small subunit ribosomal RNA", at positions 340 to 786 of the family's 1533-position model. The record is from RNAcentral.
UACGGGAGGCAGCAGGGGGGAAUAUUGCACAAUGGGCGCAAGCCUGAUGCAGCCAUGCCGCGUGUAUGAAGAAGGCCUUCGGGUUGUAAAGUACUUUCAGUCGUGAGGAAGGUGUUAAGGUUAAUAACCUUAGCAAUUGACGUUAGCGACAGAAGAAGCACCGGCUAACUCCGUGCCAGCAGCCGCGGUAAUACGGAGGGUGCGAGCGUUAAUCGGAAUUACUGGGCGUAAAGGGCACGCAGGCGGUUAAUUAAGUUGGAUGUGAAAUCCCCGGGCUUAACCUGGGAAUGGCAUUCAAGACUGGUUAGCUAGAGUCUUGUAGAGGGGGGUAGAAUUCCAUGUGUAGCGGUGAAAUGCGUAGAGAUGUGGAGGAAUACCGGUGGCGAAGGCGGCCCCUGGACAAAGACUGACGCUCAUGUGCGAAAGCGUGGGGAGCAAACAGGGAUUAGAUACC